GAUAAACGCUGGCGGCGUGCUUAACACAUGCAAGUCGAACGAAGUUUUUCCUUCGUGUGCAACUUAGUGGCGGCCGGGUGAGUAACGCGUGGUUAACCUGCCCUGUACAGGGGGACAACAGCUUGAAACGGCUGCUAAUACCGCAUAAGCCCUUAUCCCUGCAUGGUGCUUAGGGUACACGAGCAAUCCGGUACAGGAUGGACCCGCGUAUGAUUAGCCAGUUGGCAGGGUAACGGCCUACCAAAGCGACGAUCAGUAGCCGAUCUGAGAGGAUGUACGGCCACAUUGGGACUGAGACACGGCCCAGACUCCGACGGGAGGCAGCAGUGGGGAAUAUUGCACAAUGGAGGAAACUCUGAUGCAGCGACGCCGCGUGAGUGAAGAAGUAUUUCGGUAUGUAAAGCUCUAUCAGCAGGGAAGAAAAUGACGGUACCGGACUAAGAAGCACCGGCUAAAUACGUG
Molecule: ribosomal RNA, 462 nt
Filed under: uncultured bacterium
Lineage: Bacteria
Description: partial 16S ribosomal RNA
Rfam family: Bacterial small subunit ribosomal RNA
Source: RNAcentral